This 422-nucleotide ribosomal RNA is filed under the name uncultured bacterium. Its description in RNAcentral is "bacterial SSU rRNA". It matches the Rfam family "Bacterial small subunit ribosomal RNA", at positions 355 to 774 of the family's 1533-position model. The record is from RNAcentral.
UAAGGAAUAUUGGUCAAUGGACGCAAGUCUGAACCAGCCAUGCCGCGUGGAGGAUGAAGGCCCUCUGGGUUGUAAACUUCUUUUAUAUGGGACGAAAAAGGGUCUUUCUAGAUCAACUGACGGUACCAUGUGAAUAAGCACCGGCUAACUCCGUGCCAGCAGCCGCGGUAAUACGGAGGGUGCAAGCGUUAUCCGGAUUCACUGGGUUUAAAGGGUGCGUAGGUGGGUUGGUAAGUCAGUGGUGAAAUCUUCGAGCUUAACUCGGAAACUGCCAUUGAUACUAUAGGUCUUGAAUCAUCUGGAGGUGAGCGGAAUAUGUCAUGUAGCGGUGAAAUGCUUAGAUAUGACAUAGAACACCGAUUGCGAAGGCAGCUCACUACGGAUGUAUUGACACUGAGGCACGAAAGCGUGGGGAUCAAACA